Long non-coding RNA from Chinchilla lanigera (long-tailed chinchilla), 744 nucleotides. RefSeq lists it as uncharacterized. The transcript has 2 exons. NCBI's taxonomy places the organism in Eukaryota, Metazoa, Chordata, Mammalia, Rodentia, Chinchillidae. The record is from RefSeq and is a predicted model, not a curated record.
CUGAAUGAGUUCUGCUCACUUUCAAGGGCUGCAGCCUUCUGUUGGGGGCCUUGGUUCACCUAUAGUGACUCAGAGGGCAGAAAGGUGGGAAGAACAUCACCAGUUCCUUUUUCUCCCCUCCAGGGUCCUGCUGAUGAUAUUGAAGCCCAGGGAGAAGCUCUGAGGAAAAAAGCAGAUGUCCAUCUGCAGUGGCAGCAGGGAGGGAGCAGGGGGCAUCCGGCCAGCCUCAGGGAGACGUCCAGGUUGGGCAUUUGCCAGGACAGCUAGCCGUGUGUCCUCAGCUGUGAUGUCACACAGGGAUGCUGGCCCUGUGGGUUAUCUGUCUGCUCCCUCACAAGCCAGUGUUUGCCCUCAGCCAUUCACCAAGCUCUGUGGAUUGCAGGUCACCUCGUGGCUCCUCCAUGAAGAGGCAAGAAUAAGGGAGCAAGAGAGAACUGUGGGUCUAUCUCCCCAGUGUCUUCAGCGGUCACAGUUGCUCAGAUCUUCAUGGUUUCCAGGGUCUGACAAUGGUCAGCAUGGCCAGGCACUCCAUAGAAAGUACCCCCUCGGGAUACAUCCUGGGUUUAGCUCUUGCUAAGGCUGGGGUCAUGGGACUGAGAGGAAGAAGCGGGAGUAGAGUGUACUCAGAGCAUCCCGUCGAAGGGCAGUGUGGUUAGCAUGACUGAUGGAUGUCAAGAUGACCUUGGGCACCUGCUGAGGUCAAGUUUGUCAUGUAGUCUGAAUGAAGCAGUGGAGUUCCUCUUC